GAUGAACGCUGGCGGCGUGCCUAAUACAUGCAAGUCGAGCGAACGGACGAUAAGCUUGCUUCUCUGUUGUUAGCGGCGGACGGGUGAGUAACACGUGUAUAACCUCCCUAUAUGUCUGGUAUAACUUCGGGAAACCGGCGCUAAUACCGGAUAAUCUUUUGAACCGCAUGGUUCAAUAGUGAAAGACGGUCUUGCUGUCUCUUCUCGCUGCAUCCGCGCUGCAUUAGAUAGUUGGUACGGUAACGGCUUACCAAGGCAACGAUGCAUAGCCGACGUCAGAGAGGGAUCGGCGACAUGGGAGCGGAGACGGCGACAAGACGACUAAGGGAGGCAGCAGAAGGGUAUGGGACGCAAUAGGCGAAAGUAUGACGGAGCAACGCCGAGUGAGUGAUGAAGGUCUUGGGAUCGUAAAAAUGUGUUAUUAGGGAAGAACAGAUGUGGAAGGAGCUGAGCAGAGAGUGACGGUAACGAAUCAGAAAGCAACGGCUAACUACGUG
Molecule: ribosomal RNA, 497 nt
Filed under: uncultured bacterium
Lineage: Bacteria
Description: partial 16S ribosomal RNA
Rfam family: Bacterial small subunit ribosomal RNA
Source: RNAcentral